UAGGGAAUAUUAGAAAUGGACGAAAGUCUGAUCUAGCGACACCGCGUGUGCGAUGAAGGCCUUCGGGUUGUAAAGCACUUUUUGGAAGGAAUAGGAAGGAAGGUACUUCCAGAAUAAGUCUCGGCUAACUACGUG
RNAcentral lists this ribosomal RNA (135 nucleotides) under uncultured bacterium. RNAcentral's name for it is "partial 16S ribosomal RNA". It matches the Rfam family "Bacterial small subunit ribosomal RNA", at positions 355 to 507 of the family's 1533-position model. The record is from RNAcentral.